This 85-nucleotide transfer RNA is filed under the name Prevotellamassilia timonensis. RNAcentral describes it as "tRNA-Leu". It matches the Rfam family "tRNA". From Rfam's summary of the family: Transfer RNA (tRNA) molecules are approximately 80 nucleotides in length. Their secondary structure includes four short double-helical elements and three loops (D, anti-codon, and T loops). Lineage: Bacteria; Pseudomonadati; Bacteroidota; Bacteroidia; Bacteroidales; Prevotellaceae. The record is from RNAcentral. RNAcentral also lists the same sequence under 3 other names.
GCUCGAAUGGUGGAAUGGUAGACACGAAGGACUUAAAAUCCUUUGGACAGAAAUGUCCGUGCGAGUUCGAGUCUCGCUUCGAGCA